RNAcentral lists this ribosomal RNA (460 nucleotides) under uncultured Methylomirabilota bacterium. RNAcentral describes it as "bacterial SSU rRNA". It matches the Rfam family "Bacterial small subunit ribosomal RNA", at positions 977 to 1434 of the family's 1533-position model. The record is from RNAcentral. Lineage: Bacteria; Methylomirabilota (SeqCode).
GGGCUUGACAUCCCACGAACCUGCCUGAAAGGGCGGGGUGCCCGCAAGGGAGCGCGGAGACAGGUGGUGCAUGGCUGUCGUCAGCUCGUGUCGUGAGAUGUUGGGUUAAGUCCCGCAACGAGCGCAACCCUCACCCCUAGUUGCCACCGGGUAAUGCCGAGCACUCGAGGGGAACUGCCAGCGUCAAGCUGGAGGAAGGCGGGGAUGACGUCAAGUCAUCAUGCCCCUUACGUCCUGGGCUACACACGUGCUACAAUGGCCGGUACAAAGGGAUGCAAGACCGCGAGGUGGAGCUAAACCCAAAAAGCCGGUCUAAGUUCAGAUUGGAGUCUGCAACUCGACUCCAUGAAGGAGGAAUCGCUAGUAAUCGCGCAUCAGCACGGCGCGGUGAAUACGUUCCCGGGCCUUGUACACACCGCCCGUCACACCACGAGAGCCAGCUGUACUCGAAGUCGCUGAG